Molecule: ribosomal RNA, 274 nt
Filed under: uncultured bacterium
Lineage: Bacteria
Description: partial 16S ribosomal RNA
Rfam family: Bacterial small subunit ribosomal RNA
Source: RNAcentral
AUACGUAGGUCCCGAGCGUUGCGCGGAGUCACUGGGCGUAAAGCGUCCGCAGCCGGCUCCGUAAGCGGGAUGUCAAAGCCCACGGCUCAACCGUGGAACGGCAUCCUGAACUGCGGAGCUUGAGGCACGCUCAGGCAGGCGGAAUUCCCGGGGUAGCGGUGAAAUGCGUAGAUCUCCGGAGGAACACCGAAGGGGAAGCCAGCCUGCUGGAGCUGUCCUGACGGUUAGGGACGAAAGCUAGGGGAGCGAACCGGAUUAGAUACCCUAGUAGUCC